RNAcentral lists this unclassified non-coding RNA (1191 nucleotides) under Hevea brasiliensis (rubber tree). Lineage: Eukaryota; Viridiplantae; Streptophyta; Magnoliopsida; Malpighiales; Euphorbiaceae. The record is from RNAcentral.
UAUAUAUAUAUAUAUAAGCAAAUGCCGGAAUCCGAGGCAGGGACACCAACAGUGUCAGCGCCGGCGACGCCUGGAACGCCGGGAGGGCCGCUGUUUUCGUCGCUGAGGGUAGACUCAUUGUCUUAUGAUCGAAAGUCAAUGCCAAGAUGCAAGUGCUUGCCAGUUAAUGCUCCAACCUGGGGUCAAUCCCACACGUGCUUCACUGAUUUCCCUUCCCCGGAUGUCUCUCUUACCCGCAAGCUUGGAGCAGAAUUCGUGGGAACCUUCAUCCUCAUAUUUGCAGCAACAGCAGGACCAAUAGUGAAUCAAAAGCACAAUGGAGUGGAGUCAUUGAUUGGAAAUGCAGCAUGCGCAGGGUUAGCAGUGAUGAUAAUAAUUCUAUCAACUGGACACAUAUCAGGGGCUCACUUGAACCCAUCCUUGACCAUUGCCUUUGCAGCUCUCCGUCACUUUCCCUGGAUGCAAGUCCCGGCCUACAUAGCUGCCCAAGUAUCUGCUUCCAUAUGUGCAUCUUUCGCUCUCAAAGGAGUCUUCCAUCCAUUCAUGUCUGGUGGCGUUACUGUUCCCUCUGUAAGCACUGGCCAGGCUUUCGCACUUGAGUUUCUCAUUACUUUCAAUCUCUUGUUCGUUGUAACUGCCGUUGCAACUGAUACCAGAGCUGUAGGAGAGUUGGCUGGAAUAGCUGUUGGAGCAACUGUUAUGCUCAACAUUCUUGUUGCAGGGCCAUCAAGCGGUGGUUCAAUGAAUCCGGUGAGGACUCUGGGGCCGGCGGUGGCCGCAGGAAAUUACAGGGACUUGUGGAUAUACUUGGUGGCUCCCACACUUGGGGCUCUCGCUGGUGCAGGUACUUACACUCUUGUGAAGCUCCGAGAGGACGAAGCGGAUCCACCCCGCCCAGUCAGAAGCUUCCGUCGCUAGAAGAAUGCCUCUAUAUACUAUUUAAUGUGCAAUUAUAGUCAUUAAUGGUUUGCGUUAAAAAAAACAAAUGGUGUGGGACAUGAUAUUUCCAUCAAAGAUUGUGAAAAUAAAGGCGAUGCGACUAUAAGUCGACGCCUACAGUGUGGUUUAAUAAUGCUGCAGAAGGAUCGGUGCUUAUCAUCUCUCAAGUCAAUCUAUGAGAGAUGAUUGUUUGGCUGUGUCUUCUUUUGCAAUGCUAGCUGGCUAUCUAGCUUUCUUUGUUGCUUCUUGUAU